AAUUCAUUUAGAGUUUCGGGUAGUAGUUGGUCCAAAGAUGAAGCCUUUACAAGAUAUCCGAAGUCAUAUACGCUGCCGAAGGCGAUCCAGUCUGCGGUGGUGGAGCAGCAUGGACAAUGACGUACGAGACCAGCACUGUGACAGCACGCAGCAAAGCGACCGGGGUCGAUCCCCUUGAGAAAUAGCAUUCCGAAAUCGAUUCCAUCCGAAUUGUAAUCGAAUUUGUCUCGACAGACGUCAAAGUCGCAGAAAUUGAACUCCCAGAUGAAAGCCUCUCCAACGCCGCCGGGAAGAUUGCCAUCGGCGUCGAAGAGGGUGAGACCGAGUUGGGUCAACUUCGACCGUUCUACGUUGGCCUUCAAGAAAGCGUAGCGCUCGUCCGCAGAGAGAAGGUAGUGCGGCUUCUGCGGGAGGAGGGUGCAUCUCGGGAACUCGGUGUCGAAAGACACCAUGGGAAAUCGAGGGAGCACUUGGGCGAUGAUGGAGAACUCAAGGUCCAAAUUUGAAGCCCAUACUCGUCGAACCCUGACCGGUCGCGGCUGCCCCCGAGGACGAAGAAAAGUCGCCAGCGGCUGCUGCUCCUGAGGAUGAAGAAGAUCGACCGGAUGCAGCUGCUGAGAGGUUGCCAUUGCUGAUCGCAACGGCGCAGAAAACAACAAGAAUCACCGAAUCGCCGAAUCGCCAGAGCGCAGAAAAGAAAACAGAGGAAAGAGUGAUAAAUGGCCGGACUCCGGCUAGGGGCAUAUAUUUAUACGUUGAAAGCAAGCAAUUCAUUUGAAAUGCUGCGGCGCUGCGACUCCGGCUAGGUUUUCUAUCACCGCCGCCAAUUACGAUUUUUCAAGACACCGACUGACUCCGGCUAGGUUUUCGAUCACCGCCGCCAAUUACAAGAGACCAUGGGAAAGUGCAAGCAGAGAGAUCAUACGGGUUUUCUCAUAGGAACUACAGCUUGGGUGCGACGCUCCAGAGGCCUACAAUGAAGAUGGGGCAAAGGAUACCAGCAACAGGGAGGCACUCUCAUAUGGCAGAAAUCCACGAUCAUGCAUCUCAUCCACUCAUGGCAGAUGCUCAAAGAAGAACUAUUUCAUCUGGAAAUUCUCAAGAUUAUAUCCAUUCCCUUGAGCGAAGUAACCAGCAGAAUCAGGCACUCUCUCAGAGCUUGCUUUCGGUAGCUUUCCGCCUAAUUAUGUAGAAAAGGAUACUGAGGAACUUUAUCAGGAUUCAGAGCAUGAAACUGUUGAAGAACUAACUAGCAUGCAGAAGCUGGAGAUCGAGGACAAUUACUCUGAAAGAAAAACUCCAGGUGAAGAGGAAUCAUUGGUGUCUGCCGAAGUAAAAAAAGAUGGUGGCGCCUACUAGCAUUUCAAGUUCGAAGGAUGUAAGGUUAGACUUGUACAGAGGAAAUCAUGUCUCAAGUCAGAGAAUGAGGAUUCAAAAAAGGGUAAUUCAAUGCCGCCCCAACAUUGAUUCAAUGACUCCAAGUUUUAUUUCAAUUUUUGAGUCUGGUACCGACAGAGGAAGACAAGGCCAAAUAGAAACAGUUAUUCCUGUCUCUAGAGAAUUUGGUGUACAGAGAAUGGCCAGAUGCUAAGCUGCAUCUUUAUGGAUCAUGCACCAACACUUUUGGUGUCUCAAAAAGUGACAUUGAUGUUUGCCUUGCAAUCAAUGAUUGAGGCUUGAACAAAUCUGAUAUUGUGUUGAAGUUGGCUGAAAUCCUACAGUCCGGUAAUUUUCAAAUUGUCCAGGUAACCGGCAUGUAUUCUCUCAUACAUCUUUAUGGAUCAUGCACCAACACUUUUGGUGUCUCAAAAAGUGACAUUGAUGUUUGCCUUGCAAUCAAUGAUUGAGGCUUGAACAAAUCUGAUAUUGUGUUGAAGUUGGCUGAAAUUCUACAGUCUGGUAAUUUUCAAAUUGUCCAGGCACUAACUCGUGCUAGGGUUCCUAUAGUGAAGUUAAUGGAUCCAGUUACUGGUCUUUCAUGUGAUAUUUGUGUCAAUAACCUUUUGGCAGUUGUUAACACCAAGCUCCUGAAAGAUUAUGCACAGAUUGAUGAAAGAUUACGACAAUUGGCUUUUAUUGUUAAACACUUGGCUAAAUCUCAUCGUGUCAAUGAAACAUAUCAAGGGACACUUUCUAGCUACGCGUAGUGGUAAUGUGCAUCCCUUUCUGCAACUACGAUGACCUGCAAUUCUUCCUUGUUUGCAGGUACGUGCUAAUGUGCAUCCCUUUCUGUAACUACGAUGACCUGCAAUUCUUCCUUGUUUGCGCGCGCGCGCACGAAUUUCACCAAUACAAAAUAUAUCUUUGAUUUUUUAGUCACCUUCCUUGUUUGAUUCCAGGGCAUACAGGUCGAUAUGAACUUGUAGAAUACUAGUAACUGCUCUUACACUACUAAGCAUUUUUGGAUGUGCCUCAUAUUUAAAGAAUAAACCAGUUGGUAGAUUGUUUGACGAAAUAUCUAAUCUACUUGAUGUUGGCUUCUGAUUGAGUAGUUUGGGCUAAUUCUUAAUGCAACCGAUACUCUAUUCACUAGAUAUGGUUUUCCUAACUUUAGUUGGACACGGAUGGAGAAAUCCUUAAAGAGCCAACCUAUUCGAAUUAAUUGUGUUAUCAAGUUGAGAUUAUGCUGCCCUGGACUACAUUUACAAAAAAAAAUUCUCAUAAGAUUAGCACUCUCUCCAGCAAAGGCCGCGGACAAGAUACCACUUACAAAAAAAAAACAUUUUAUCUUUUAUUAUUUAAGAAAAAUCAUCAUUGUUAACAUGAUCUUAAAGUCUUUUGGAUGUAAUUAUCGCAUAAUUUUGUUUCACUGAAAUCUUGAUAUUUAUGUUUGUUAAGUUGUGUGGUUGAAGAUCGACUUUGAUUGUUCUUUCUGUGGAGAAUACCAAAUGCACCUUCUUCGAUCAAAUGGAAAUGCUCCGCGACUUUGGCAUCGGAAACAAGGAAAGCAUUGCAAGAUUGCUAUGGGCAUUUUUCCAUUACUGGGCAUAUCAUCAUGAUUAUACGAAUGAUGUUAUAUCUAUUCGCACAGGGAGCAUCAUCAGCAAUAAAAGGACUGGACGCGGCGAAUUGGAAAUGACCGUCACCAAAUAUGCAUCGAGGACCCGUUCAAUAUCUCGCACGACCUUGGUCGGGUAGUCGACAAGUACAGCAUUAAAAUCCUAAGGGAAGAGUUUGAACGAGCUGCCGAGUCCCACCGUCACCCUUUUCCAGCCUUAUGAACCAGGAUCGCCGCAGAGACAAAUUGACAGGAGCUAGGUGAAUGCUAUUCAACACUGAAUGCUAAAUAUGUAUAUUCCUCUCUGAGAAGCAGUGUUCUUUCAGCUCCUUUGUGUAUAGAUUGUACUGUGUUAUGGAUGAUUCCUAUUUUUUAA
RNA transcript from Zingiber officinale, 3374 nucleotides. It is a transcript of the gene named UTP:RNA uridylyltransferase 1-like, with no coding region annotated. The record is from RefSeq and is a predicted model, not a curated record. Lineage: Eukaryota; Viridiplantae; Streptophyta; Magnoliopsida; Zingiberales; Zingiberaceae. The transcript has 7 exons.